This 895-nucleotide ribosomal RNA is filed under the name Planococcus salinus. RNAcentral describes it as "bacterial LSU rRNA". It matches the Rfam family "Bacterial large subunit ribosomal RNA", at positions 1 to 889 of the family's 2925-position model. Lineage: Bacteria; Bacillati; Bacillota; Bacilli; Caryophanales; Caryophanaceae. The record is from RNAcentral.
UUGGUUAAGUUAGAAAGGGCGCACGGUGGAUGCCUUGGCACUAGGAGCCGAAGAAGGACGGCACUAACACCGAUAUGCUUCGGGGAGCUGUAAGUGAGCUGUGAUCCGGAGAUUUCCGAAUGGGGGAACCCCCUGCCUGUAAUGGGGCAGGAUCCAUGUGUGAAUUCAUAGCACAUGAGAAGGCAGACCCAGGGAACUGAAACAUCUAAGUACCUGGAGGAACAGAAAGCAAAUGCGAUUCCCUGAGUAGCGGCGAGCGAAACGGGAACAGCCCAAACCAGGAGGCUUGCCUCCUGGGGUUGUAGGACACUCUGUACGGAGUUACAAAAGGCGGGAUUAGGCGAAGCGACCUGGAACGGUCCGCGAGACAGGGUAACAGCCCCGUAGCCGAAAACCCCGCCUCUCCAGAGUGGAUCCUGAGUACGGCGGAACACGUGAAAUUCCGUCGGAAUCCGGGAGGACCAUCUCCCAAGGCUAAAUACUUCCUAGUGACCGAUAGUGAACCAGUACCGUGAGGGAAAGGUGAAAAGCACCCCGGAAGGGGAGUGAAACAGAUCCUGAAACCGUGUGCCUACAAGUAGUCAGAGCCCGUUAACGGGUGAUGGCGUGCCUUUUGUAGAAUGAACCGGCGAGUUACGAUUGCAUGCAAGGUUAAGGCGGGAAGCCGGAGCCGCAGCGAAAGCGAGUCUGAACAGGGCGACGGAGUAUGCAGUUGUAGACCCGAAACCAGGUGAUCUACCCAUGUCCAGGGUGAAGGUAAGGUAACACUUACUGGAGGCCCGAACCCACGCACGUUGAAAAGUGCGGGGAUGAGGUGUGGGUAGCGGAGAAAUUCCAAUCGAACCUGGAGAUAGCUGGUUCUCUCCGAAAUAGCUUUAGGGCUAGCCUCAAUUUU